UACGGAGGGUGCGAGCGUUGUCCGGAAUCACUGGGCGUAAAGGGCGCGUAGGCGGGUGCUCAAGUCCGGGGUGAAAUCCUCCAGCUCAACUGGAGAACUGCCUCGGAUACUGGGUGCCUCGAGUGUGGUAGGGGUGUGCGGAACUUCCGGUGGAGCGGUGAAAUGCGUAGAUAUCGGAAGGAACACCGGUGGCGAAAGCGGCGCGCUGGACCUCUUCUGACGCUGAGGCGCGAAAGCCAGGGGAGCAAACGGG
This 253-nucleotide ribosomal RNA is filed under the name uncultured bacterium. RNAcentral describes it as "partial 16S ribosomal RNA". It matches the Rfam family "Bacterial small subunit ribosomal RNA", at positions 524 to 776 of the family's 1533-position model. The record is from RNAcentral.